Molecule: ribosomal RNA, 253 nt
Filed under: uncultured bacterium
Lineage: Bacteria
Description: partial 16S ribosomal RNA
Rfam family: Bacterial small subunit ribosomal RNA
Source: RNAcentral
UACGUAGGGGGCAAGCGUUGUCCGGAUUUAUUGGGCGUAAAGAGCGUGUAGGCGGCUAGGUAGGUCCGUUGUGAAAACUCGAGGCUCAACCUCGAGACGUCGAUGGAAACCAUCUAGCUAGAGUCCGGAAGAGGAGAGUGGAAUUCCCGGUGUAGCGGUGAAAUGCGCAGAUAUCGGGAGGAACACCAAUUGCGAAGGCAGCUCGCUGGGACGUAACUGACGCUGAGACGCGAAAGCGUGGGGAGCAAACAGG